This 484-nucleotide ribosomal RNA is filed under the name Russula nauseosa. RNAcentral's name for it is "partial 12S small subunit ribosomal RNA". It matches the Rfam family "Bacterial small subunit ribosomal RNA", at positions 434 to 949 of the family's 1533-position model. Lineage: Eukaryota; Fungi; Basidiomycota; Agaricomycetes; Russulales; Russulaceae. The record is from RNAcentral. RNAcentral also lists the same sequence under 1 other name.
UGAUAACAUAAGGGAAAAUAAUGAUAUUACCUUAUUAUUAGUGUCGUCCAAAUCUGGUGCCAGAAGACUCGGUAAGGCCAGAGACACAAACGUUAAUCGUCUUAAUCAGGCGUAAAGGGUUUGUAGGCGGCUUUAAAAUUUACUUAUACAAAAAUAAUAAGUAAAGAAUAAAAGCUAGAAUCAAAUAGAGGAUAUAUGAAAGAAUGCUUAGAGUAGGUCUGAUAUCCUUAGAUACUAAGUAGAAUAUUAAAGGCGAAAGCUUUUUUCCAUUAAUGAUUGACGCUCAGAAACGAAGGUGAGGAUAGGAAAUAGGAUUAGAUACCCAGAAUACCCCUCUCUGUCAACGAUGAAUGGUAGUUAUUAGUACAAAUUAUUAAUGGCAAUGUUAACACGAUAACCAUUCCGCCUUGUGAGUACAACUGCAAAGUUGAAAACAAAAAAAUUAGUCGGUUUCGGAGCAAACGAAGUGAAGCAUGUUAUUUAA